UACAUUUUAUGCAAGGUGUUUGAAAUUAAACAAACAAAAAAUAGGAAGAAAAAAUUUAUAUUGGCCUUGAUAACGAAUCUUCUCGAAAUCGAUAUAGUACUGUUUUACUAUGCUGCUUUCGAAUGGUGGUACGGGGCUAGGGAAUCAUCCCUUCAAAGGAUCAAUAGGGAAGCGGCUUCAGUAAGAGGAUAUAAUCGAUUGCGUUGGGAAAGGUUUUUCGAAGGAACGUCCAACGGUUCAUACGGAUCAUGGGUCAAAGUUGAAUUUUUGCUCUAAUGCGGGAACGUUCCUUCGUAGAAAAGUAAGUUUCCUCGCCGAUUCUCUUUGGAUUCUAUUUUUUUGCAACUUCAGAAGGAUUCAAUGCAGUCGGGAAGGGAACGAUAAGGAAAACCUUAGGGCGAUUAAUAGUGAUUCCGAAAAAGAUGUUCUGCGAAUCAUUAUUGAAGAAGAAGAAGAGGAUGAAGAUGAAGAAGAAGGAGAUACAGGGGAUGAAGUAGUAGAGGAGAUAUACUAAACCAACCGAAGACGAAAACAGUUCCGAUAGCCUGGAGGUAUUGCAAAGGAGCCGAAUUGAUUUAUAUUUGAAUUGUAAUUCCAAAAAAGAUAAAAAAAUUUCAACAACGCUCCACCAGAUAAUAUAACAUUGCACAUCCAAAGUGAAAAGCAAUCACAUUGAUUCUAUCUAUUCUUACGUACAUACGACGAUACGAUUGUACAACAUGGAUAGUACAAAUGCCAGAAAAACAAUAAGAUUACUAUAUGAACACAUUUUCCUUUUUAAAAUUGCUUAUAAAUGGAAAAACAAUCAACGCUGUGUUUAUUUAAUGAUAAGAUAUUUUAGAGAUAUGAUAAAUUUUUUAUUCUAAAAUGUAAUGUCGAAUAUAAAGUCUAUAACAUAUUUAUUUAUUUUAUAAUAAUUUAUUGAAUAUUUUCGUAGAUUAUAUGCAGUCGAAGAAAGUAUUAUUAUUUAUAAGUGAAUUUAUCUCAUAUAUUCUAAAUGGUACGAAUCCCAAAUGGGAGUAAUUAUCCGAUAAGUACUAUAAUAUGGAAAUGAAAUCUUUUAAUAAAUCUUAUACAAAUAUAA
Long non-coding RNA from Vespula vulgaris, 1084 nucleotides. RefSeq lists it as uncharacterized. The record is from RefSeq and is a predicted model, not a curated record. The transcript has 4 exons. NCBI's taxonomy places the organism in Eukaryota, Metazoa, Arthropoda, Insecta, Hymenoptera, Vespidae.